RNAcentral lists this transfer RNA (69 nucleotides) under Dipodomys ordii (Ord's kangaroo rat). It matches the Rfam family "tRNA". Rfam says of the family: Transfer RNA (tRNA) molecules are approximately 80 nucleotides in length. Their secondary structure includes four short double-helical elements and three loops (D, anti-codon, and T loops). The record is from Rfam by way of RNAcentral. Lineage: Eukaryota; Metazoa; Chordata; Mammalia; Rodentia; Heteromyidae.
GAGGUGGCUCAGUGGUAGAGUGCUUGCCUAGCAUGCAAGAAGCCCUGGGUCCAAUUCCUCAGUACCUCA